GAUAGGCUAAUUAAGAGCGUAUGGGGAAUGCCUAGGCUCUCAGAGGCGAUGAAGGACGUGAUAAGCUGCGAAAAGCUACGGGGAGUGGCACAUACACUGUGAUCCGUAGAUAUCCGAAUGGGGCAACCCAAUACUUUGAAGAAGUAUUAUCCGAAAGGAAGCAAACCCGGAGAACUGAAACAUCUAAGUAUCCGGAGGAGAAGAAAACAAUAGUGAUUCCGUUAGUAGUGGCGAGCGAAAGCGGAACAGCCC
RNAcentral lists this ribosomal RNA (252 nucleotides) under uncultured Flavobacteriaceae bacterium. Its description in RNAcentral is "partial 23S ribosomal RNA". It matches the Rfam family "Bacterial large subunit ribosomal RNA", at positions 1 to 270 of the family's 2925-position model. The record is from RNAcentral. Lineage: Bacteria; Pseudomonadati; Bacteroidota; Flavobacteriia; Flavobacteriales; Flavobacteriaceae.